UUGCAGUCAUAAUAGGCCUUUUUUUUUAGAGAGAUAGGUAGCAUGCUACCCGCUUCGUUUAUUUCAUUUAGAAAUAAACUUAGCUGAAAAUGUGAAUCAACUAGAAUUCGAACUUGGGUCUCGGGUACCAACCACCAAAUCCUUUGCCACUUACUCUAGGGACGGUCGGUAUAAUAGGCCUUAUUCAUCAGGUAAUAAUAGUUGUUUUUAGUCCUUAAUU
Molecule: long non-coding RNA, 220 nt
Filed under: Ananas comosus (pineapple)
Lineage: Eukaryota; Viridiplantae; Streptophyta; Magnoliopsida; Poales; Bromeliaceae
Description: long non-coding RNA (ACOM_LNC028708)
Source: RNAcentral